AGAGUUUGAUCCUGGCUCACGACGAACGCUGGCGGCGUGCUUAACACAUGCAAGUCGAACGCGAAAGAGUUCUUCGGAACUUGAGUAGAGUGGCGCACGGGUGAGUAACGCGUAAGUGAUCUACCCCUGUAUCUGGAAUAACUAUGGGAAACUGUAGCUAAUACCGGAUACGUUCAUGUGAUUGCGAUCAUGUGAAGAAAGAUGGCCUCUGACAUAAGCUAUCGUACAGGGAGGAGCUUGCGUACCAUUAGCUAGUUGGCAGGGUAAAGGCCUACCAAGGCGACGAUGGUUAGCGGGUCUGAGAGGAUGAUCCGCCACACUGGAACUGAAACACGGACCAGACUCCUACGGGAGGCAGCAGUGAGGAAUAUUGCGCAAUGGGGGCAACCCUGACGCAGCGACGCCGCGUGGAUGAUGAAGGCCUUCGGGUCGUAAAAUCCUGUCGGAUGGAAAGAAGUGUGAUGUGGUUAAUACCCAUGUCAUUUGACGGUACCAUCAGAGGAAGCACCGGCUAACUCCGUGCCAGCAGCCGCGGUAAUACGGAGGGUGCAAGCGUUGUUCGGAAUUACUGGGCGUAAAGCGCGCGUAGUCGGCGCGAUCAGUCUGCCGUGAAAUCCCCGGGCUCAACCUGGGAAGGGCGGUGGAUACUGUCGACCUAGAGUAUUAGAGAGGGGGGUGGAAUUCCAGGUGUAGCGGUGAAAUGUGUAGAGACCUGGAGGAACACCAGUGGCGAAGGCGGCCCCCUGGUUCAACUCUGACGCUGAGGUACGAAAGCGUGGGUAGCAAACAGGAUUAGAUACCCUGGUAGUC
RNAcentral lists this ribosomal RNA (810 nucleotides) under uncultured bacterium. RNAcentral's name for it is "bacterial SSU rRNA". It matches the Rfam family "Bacterial small subunit ribosomal RNA", at positions 8 to 795 of the family's 1533-position model. The record is from RNAcentral.